Molecule: non-coding RNA, 46 nt
Filed under: Mytilus galloprovincialis (Mediterranean mussel)
Lineage: Eukaryota; Metazoa; Mollusca; Bivalvia; Mytilida; Mytilidae
Rfam family: Histone 3' UTR stem-loop
About the family: The mRNAs of metazoan histone genes lack a poly-A tail.
Source: RNAcentral
UCAACGACCCUUUUAAGGGCCACCAACAUCUUUCAAAAAGAGUUUU